This 67-nucleotide transfer RNA is filed under the name Astrospartus mediterraneus. RNAcentral describes it as "transfer RNA-Leu(CUN)". The record is from RNAcentral. Lineage: Eukaryota; Metazoa; Echinodermata; Ophiuroidea; Euryalida; Gorgonocephalidae.
ACAGGUGUAAUUUAAUAAGAAUAUUUGUUUUAGGAAUAAAAGGUAUUACUAAUAGUAGUCGCUUGUU